UACGGGGGGGGCAAGCGUUGUUCGGAAUUACUGGGCGUAAAGGGCUCGUAGGCGGCCAACUAAGUCAGACGUGAAAUCCCCAGGCUUAACCUGGGAACUGCGUCUGAUACUGGAUGGCUUGAAUUCGGGAGAGGGAUGCAGAAUUCCAGGUGUAGCGGUGAAAUGCGUAGAUAUCGGGAGGAACACCAGUGGCGAAGGCGGUUCUCUGGGCCUUACCUGACGCUGAGGAGCGAAAGCGUGGGGAGCGAACAGG
RNAcentral lists this ribosomal RNA (253 nucleotides) under uncultured bacterium. Its description in RNAcentral is "partial 16S ribosomal RNA". It matches the Rfam family "Bacterial small subunit ribosomal RNA", at positions 524 to 776 of the family's 1533-position model. The record is from RNAcentral.